RNAcentral lists this transfer RNA (64 nucleotides) under Hymenolepis microstoma. Its description in RNAcentral is "tRNA-Val". The record is from RNAcentral. Lineage: Eukaryota; Metazoa; Platyhelminthes; Cestoda; Cyclophyllidea; Hymenolepididae.
UGCGAUGUAGUUUAUUCAAAAUAUUUGUUUUACACACAAAUGAACUCUUAUUUGAGCUUUGCUA